GUCCCCGCUGAGGGCCGUCCGGGUUAACCUAACCUAACCUAAAGGUUGGCAUUGUCGUAAAAAGAAAAGGAUUUCGUGAGCAACACCUACUACCUACUGCGAACAAUGUCUGUAGUCGUGGAUGAGCAGAAACAACAGCGCCUGCGCUUGCCACUCUUUGAUGAUUCCCAAUGUCUCCAUGCGCAUAGGAAUAGAAAUCUUAUCUCGCUUACCGCUAAUCUGCCUCAUUAAGUUCUGGCUUGGGCUUGGGUUCAGGUUCUGUUUCUGUUUCUGGCCCUGGCUCUAAAGAGACUCUGCUGCUCAUUGAAUGGAAAUUUAUUGGGUUUUCCCGAAAUGUUGCGUGCCUGUCUGGCAGCCUGAAGCACUUUCGAGAUCGUUUGAGAGCGCACAAACACAAUAUAUAUUAUUUCGUAUGUAAGCUUAAGAUGAAGUUUGAAACCAGAUAUUAGACAGCGAUAAGGAUGAUUCAAUCGGAGAAAUGGGAAGAAAAAGAAAAUAUUUAUACAAGAAUAAUUUACAAUAUUUAUUUUUUAUUAAAUGUACAACUGGUGUUUGUAAUUAUAUGAAACAGGGUACAAGCAGGUCUCAGAUCGGAUUCCCUGAAUAUCCUCCUGGGAAGAAAUGUAUAUAGUACACAUUCAACUCUCGAUUCAAUAUUGUACAAUGCGCCACAUAUAUUUGUAUCCUCAGAUAAAGCACUUCCUGGUACAUAAAUAUGUAAGACAGAAAGGAGGAAGCAUCGGAGACUACCAAAAUCGAUUCCUUCCGUUACAGAAGAGAUGGCAAUUGAUCG
Long non-coding RNA from Drosophila miranda, 793 nucleotides. RefSeq lists it as uncharacterized. The record is from RefSeq and is a predicted model, not a curated record. The transcript is spliced from 5 exons. NCBI's taxonomy places the organism in Eukaryota, Metazoa, Arthropoda, Insecta, Diptera, Drosophilidae.